UCAGUUAAUAUAGAUCAUAAGAUGUACUUAGUUAAUUUUAAGGUUCGUUUAACAACACUCUUUAAAUUACAUAUUUUACACAUCAAGUUAUGAUUGUUAUAUAUAUAUAUAUAUUUGAAAUCCUUGUAUCCUCUUUCAAUAUUCAAUUCAAUUCAUACACACGACAUUAAAUUAUUUACAGAGAGAGAGAAAGAAAAGGAGAGUGAAACUGGGAAGAAGAAAAAAAAAAGGAAAAAGAGAAAAUGAAGAGAAUAAAGAGUUGAGAAGGGGCUUGGGACCCCUCUCGUCCCUACGUGGCUCCAUCACUGCAUGCAUGUUCUCUAUAUUAAGGAUUUGUCGAGUCUUCACAUCAAACCUAAAUUUGUC
This 366-nucleotide long non-coding RNA is filed under the name Prunus persica (peach). Its description in RNAcentral is "long non-coding RNA (PPER_LNC005338)". The record is from RNAcentral. Lineage: Eukaryota; Viridiplantae; Streptophyta; Magnoliopsida; Rosales; Rosaceae.